AUCUAUAUAUAUGCAUAGUACAUUAGAGAGAGAGAGAGAGAGAGAGAUAGAUGGGUGCAUUGGUAGUUCAGACUGGUGAUGCUUGCAUCUGGCAUCAUCAUCAUCAUCGCCAUCAGCAUCGAAGUCCAAGUAUCGGAGCAUCAGUGAGAAGAAAGGGGAACAAGAAGAAUGGGUUGUUUUUCAGCAGCAAUUUCCAAAUUCAUGCACUUCAGGUGGGUGCUGAAAAACCAGCAGGUUCAACCAACUCAGAAUUUGAAAAUCUCAUUUGGCCUUCUCCGAAUGAUGAAAUCCCAUUCUGGAAGAGGGAUUUCCCUUCAUGGGACAUAAGCUCAGAACUACCAGUUGACGUAGACAAGGAUUCUGAUCUGAUGCAUGUAGUUCAUGUAACGGCUGAAAUGGCACCAAUAGCAAAAGUUGGUGGUCUUGGUGAUGUUGUCACUGGAUUGGCCCGUGCAUGUUUAUCACGUGGCCAUAAAGUGGAUAUCAUGAUCCCUUUCUAUGAGUGUAUUCCGAAGCAGCAGAUCAAUGAGUUGGCACUGCUCAGUACAUAUGAUUCGUACCAUGAUGGAAAUUGGAUCCCUACUAAUGCGUACCGUGGGCUAGUUUCUGGCAUACCAGUUGUAUUUAUUGAACCGAAAAACCACUUCUUUAAGGGGCAAUAUGUAUAUGGAGGCUCGUACAAUGAGCUCGAGGCAUACUUGUUCUUUACCCGUGCUUGCCUUGAAUGGAUGCAGACUAUUAUUUUAUUGCAGGUGACUGGAACACAACCGGAUAUCAUCCAUAUCCAUGAAUGGCAGACAAGUGCUUUAUCCAUGCUUUUCUGGGAUAUGUACUGUUAUCUCUCACUAAAGAAACCAAGAAUAGUACUGACAAUCCACAACAUGGAGCAUUAUGGGGAAUGCAGACAAGAGGAACUCAGUAAAUGUGGCCUUGAUGGAUCUAUAUAUGCAACUGCUGACAAGGCUGUCGAUGAUCGAACUGUUGGUCAUAAUCCCGAGAGGUUGAGCUUACUGAAAGGAGGCAUUGUGUAUAGUAAUGCAAUAGUUACAGUCUCUCCAACAUACCUUCGGGAGACGCUCUGUUCUGGAUGGCUUGCAGGCACUUUGAUAGGGAAUCGUGAUAAGUACUAUGGUAUUUUAAAUGGAAUAGAUACUGCGAUAUGGAACCCUGCCACAGAUGUUUUCUUGCCUUCUAAAUUCAAUGCUCAAAGAAUUGAGGGGAAGAAGAUAUGCAAACACUUUGUCCAAAGGGGACUUGGAUUGACUUCAGAAGAAAUUAUAGCGGGUAAUACUGGGUCUAAAAUUACAGCCAAGGUGCCCCUGGUUGUCUGCAUAACUCGAUUGGUUGCUCAAAAGGGUCUUCAUUUGAUUACUCAUGCAAUUAAGCACGUUGAAGAACUUGGGGGACAAAUGAUUGUACUGGGAAAAGCUUCAGAUAAUCGGGUUGAAAGAGGAUUUGAGGCUCUUGCAAAGAUGCAUAACCAAGGACCCGGCAUCCGAAUUCUUCUGAUGUACAGUGAGGAGCUGUCACAUAUGCUUUAUGCUGCAGCAGACAUGGUAUUAGUUCCUUCCAUAUAUGAGCCAUGUGGACUUGCUCAGAUGAUUGGAAUGCGUUACGGAGCGGUUUGUCUUUGAAGGAAUCGAUGAAGGAUCCCUGAAUGGAGCUCUAGACCGUGCAUUUUCUCGCUAUCGAGAGAAACCAAAUGAAUGGAAUGAUGUCUCACAGAAGAUUAUGGAAAUUGAUAAUAGCUGGAAUAACACAGCUGGAAAAUACCUUGAUGUGUACAACUCUAUCAGAGUAAGAGGGUAAUAACCUUAGUAAUUGUUUGGGAUGUGCUAUAUAAGUAUACUUUUUGACUUUUGGUUAAAAAAGUAGAGAAAAAAAUAUGUAUAUUUGAGAUAAUUUUUUGACUUUUUACGAAAAGAUGUGUAAUAAAAUAUUGUAGUAAAAUCAAAAUGGUAAUUUUAUCUUUACUUU
Molecule: non-coding RNA, 1977 nt
Organism: Camellia sinensis
Lineage: Eukaryota; Viridiplantae; Streptophyta; Magnoliopsida; Ericales; Theaceae
Source: RefSeq, a predicted model, not a curated record